RNAcentral lists this long non-coding RNA (994 nucleotides) under Homo sapiens (human). Its description in RNAcentral is "HSALNT0235808". Lineage: Eukaryota; Metazoa; Chordata; Mammalia; Primates; Hominidae. The record is from RNAcentral.
CCCAUCCCGGGGGCGGAUCGCAGGUGGCUUCCCUCAUAGUGGCAAAAGGGCUGCAGGAGCUCUGGGACUCACGUGCAUCCUCCAUCAUGAACAAGAGGAGAAGGGAACCACCCAGGAAGGUCGCUCCUAAAACCCUGACUCACAGACACUGAACUAACACAUGUUUAUGGUUGUCUUAAAGCAGUCGGUUUUGAGGUCACCUGUUCUUCACAAGACGUAAUGAAUGCAGCAGUUCAGGCUUUCCUGCAGUCGACUGAGUUCUCUGGUAACUGUGAGCAGGACUGAUGCGUGCCACCUGCAGGCCCACCCAUACGAACUUCCCACCCGAACCUCUGCAGCCUCCAUGCCCGGUCCUCUUGGCCUCAGGUCCCCUAGGCCAGCCAUGGGGGCCACAAGCUGAAGACGGCAGAGGUACAAGAGGAAGAAGUCUGGGGCCCUCAAUCAUGGCUGGGGGAUUGCUGCCCAGGAAUACCACCUGACCAGAGACACCACAUGAAUGAUUCCAUGAGCAGGAAAUAAAUCUUCAUGUUUAAGCCACUGAGAUUUGGGGAUUUAUCCAUUACAGUACCUAAAGUCACCUUAAACUAAUACUCUUUCUUUUUUUUUUUUUUUUUUUUUUGAGUCGGCGUCUUGCUCUGUGGCCCAGGCUGGAGUGCAGUGUCGAGAUCCCGGUUCACUGCAACCUCCGCCUCCCGGGUUCAAGUGAUUCUCCUGCCUCAGCUUCCUGAGUAACUGGGAUUACAGUCAUACGCUACCACACCUGGCUCAUUUUUGUAUUUUUAGGAGGGACAGGGUUUCACCAUGUUGGUCAAGCUGGUCUCGAACUCCUGACCUCGUGAUCCUCCCACCUCGGCCUCCCAAAGUGCUGGGAUUAUAGGCAUGAGCCACUGCGCCCGGCCUAAUACUCUUUCAUACAGAAUUUUUUUUCCCCCAGGCUGGAUUGUAAUGGCGUGAUCUCGGUCACUGCAACCUCCACCUCCCCGGUUCAAGCGAU